This 252-nucleotide ribosomal RNA is filed under the name uncultured bacterium. RNAcentral describes it as "partial 16S ribosomal RNA". It matches the Rfam family "Bacterial small subunit ribosomal RNA", at positions 524 to 776 of the family's 1533-position model. The record is from RNAcentral.
UACGUAGGUCCCGAGCGUUGUCCGGAUUUAUUGGGCGUAAAGCGAGCGCAGGUGGUUUAUUAAGUCUGGUGUAAAAGGCAGUGGCUCAACCAUUGUAUGCAUUGGAAACUGGUAGACUUGAGUGCAGGAGAGGAGAGUGGAAUUCCAUGUGUAGCGGUGAAAUGCGUAGAUAUAUGGAGGAACACCGGUGGCGAAGGCGGCUUACUGGGCUGUAACUGACGUUGAGGCUCGAAAGCGUGGGGAGCAAACAGG